Non-coding RNA from Paramisgurnus dabryanus, 443 nucleotides. The record is from RefSeq and is a predicted model, not a curated record. NCBI's taxonomy places the organism in Eukaryota, Metazoa, Chordata, Actinopteri, Cypriniformes, Cobitidae.
UGUAAUUUGAAAAAGUGUAAUAAAAUAUACAGAGGUGAAGUCAUGUGUCUUUCCAGAUGCCCAAAUCUGUACCACUCAAAAAGUAAUGAAGUGACAGUGUACCAUGACAAAAAAUCUAAGAUGAGCCUGAAGAGGAGAUUUGGGAAGAUGCUGUUUCAUAAGUCUUUGCUUUGCCAGAUCACCUGUGGUCGGGAUGUCUGCUAACAAGAUGCCUUGUUGGUCUGGGCGAGUUUGAAGUCUCUCACAGACAGUCCAGAUGGUCUGGAGUCCAUCUUAGCUUUUAUUGAUGCUGUCAUCAGGUUUUAAGUACAGUAUGAGCCAGAAUGGAAGGGUGUUGGUGGCCAUAAGAAGACUGUGAGCUAAACCUACAACAAAAUUCAUAUUUGCAGUUUUCCUAGAAUAUUUUUUUCUAUUCAGAUGAAUAAAAUUACUUUAAAAUAUUA